CCCUUUUUGUUCGGUCUUUUAAUAUCAAUAGUAACUUAUCAUUGAACUUUUACUAUUACUUAUUGAUGGGGAAAGAGGAUGGAUUGGUUUAUUUGGGCUUUUUAAACAAGAUGUUUAUCGGUAGCUGUGUUUUGACGGUUUUCUAAUAUUUUUCUUUUAAUAAAGAAAUCCAAUAAUUUGAUAAUGUCGAAAAGACCUCAUUGAAACAAUACUUUAAAGGCUAUUUACAAAUGAUUUUUUCCAGCAACAUUAGUGUACCGAUUUUCAAAUCUCGUCAAUCGAUUAGGAAGAGGCAACAAACAGAAACUGAGGGAAUCGUACGAAUUCCAGAAGGAGUAAGACCGGAAGCAGACAUAAUUUUCACAGAAUAGAGUAUAAUUGGCAAAAAAUAUAAAGAAUAGAGAAAAAUGGACGAAAAAAUAAAGAAUAGAGAAUAAUGAGGUGCUAAAAUAUAAUGGACAGAGAAUAUAACGGGCUAAAAAAAUAAAGAAUACAGAAAUGAAGGACCCCCAUCCAGACCCUCUCAUAUUGGCAAAGUUGAUGAGGAGAUUUAUGAAAUGUUAUACCACGAAGACAAACCGAUGAGAAAAGUUCAAGCAGAAGCUUUGAACUAUCAAAUUGGAAUAUGUUAGUAUACUGCAUAAAUUAGACCAGCUACUUAACCCUAACAUGAGUAUAACAGGCUGUCCGAGUCAACAGAUAGCUGGUAUUG
Mytilus californianus (California mussel) is the source of this 712-nucleotide long non-coding RNA. RefSeq lists it as uncharacterized. The transcript is spliced from 3 exons. The record is from RefSeq and is a predicted model, not a curated record. NCBI's taxonomy places the organism in Eukaryota, Metazoa, Mollusca, Bivalvia, Mytilida, Mytilidae.